UACGAAGGGGGCUAGCGUUGCUCGGAAUCACUGGGCGUAAAGGGUGCGUAGGCGGGUCUUUAAGUCAGGGGUGAAAUCCUGGAGCUCAACUCCAGAACUGCCUUUGAUACUGAGGAUCUUGAGUUCGGGAGAGGUGAGUGGAACUGCGAGUGUAGAGGUGAAAUUCGUAGAUAUUCGCAAGAACACCAGUGGCGAAGGCGGCUCACUGGCCCGGUACUGACGCUGAGGAGCGAAAGCGUGGGUAGCAAACAGG
Molecule: ribosomal RNA, 253 nt
Filed under: uncultured bacterium
Lineage: Bacteria
Description: partial 16S ribosomal RNA
Rfam family: Bacterial small subunit ribosomal RNA
Source: RNAcentral